This 345-nucleotide unclassified non-coding RNA is filed under the name soil metagenome. Its description in RNAcentral is "partial contains 5.8S ribosomal RNA, internal transcribed spacer 2, and large subunit ribosomal RNA". The stretch from base 1 to 119 matches the Rfam family "5.8S ribosomal RNA", at positions 35 to 154 of the family's 154-position model. The record is from RNAcentral.
GAUGAAGAACGUAGUGAAAUGCGAUACGUAAUGUGAAUUGCAAAUUCAGUGAAUCAUCGAGUCUUUGAACGCACAUUGCGCCCCCUGGUAUUCCGGGGGGCAUGCCUGUCCGAGCGUCAUUGCUGCCCUCAAGCACGGCUUGUGUGUUGGGCCCCGUCCUCCGAUCCCGGGGGACGGGCCCGAAAGGCAGCGGCGGCACCGCGUCCGGUCCUCGAGCGUAUGGGGCUUUGUCACCCGCUCUGUAGGCCCGGCCGGCGCUUGCCGAUCAACCCAAAUUUUUAUCCAGGUUGAUCUCGGAUCAGGUAGGGAUACCCGCUGAACUUAAGCAUAUCAAUAAGCGGAGGA